This 305-nucleotide ribosomal RNA is filed under the name uncultured bacterium. Its description in RNAcentral is "bacterial SSU rRNA". It matches the Rfam family "Bacterial small subunit ribosomal RNA", at positions 333 to 654 of the family's 1533-position model. The record is from RNAcentral.
ACGUACCUACGGGGGGCAGCAGUGGGGAAUAUUGCACAAUGGGGGAAACCCUGAUGCAGCAACGCCGCGUGAGUGAGGAAGUAUUUCGGUAUGUAAAGCUCUAUCAGCAGGGAAUAGAAAAGAAGGUACCUGAAAAAGAAGCCCCGGCUAACUACGUGCCAGCAGCCGCGGUAAUACGUAGGGGGCAAGCGUUAUCCGGAUUUACUGGGUGUAAAGGGAGCGUAGACGGCUGUGCAAGUCUGAAGUGAAAGCCCAGGGCUCAACCCUGGGACUGCUUUGGAAACUGUGGAGCUAGAGUGCUGGAG